AAGAAGCCAAAAUAAAUAUUUUAAUAAAUAUGUAUAAAUUUUUAACAUUUCGUAAAAUGUUCUAAAAUGUUCUGCAAAUAUAACAACAUUUCCAUAUAAUUCUUAAGUCCUGUGCGACAAGAGUUAAUCGUCUCCGUUUUAUUUUUAUCGGUAUCACCAGUUUUUGGUAAUAGAUAAAAGUUAUUAUAAAUUCCUUUAUUGGUAAAGUGAUGAAGAUUUUGACACCCAGCACGAAUGUUUGCAUAGAACUAGUUAAUAAGAAGAGUAUUGCCAGGCUACACUUUGCUUUUAAAAUAAAUACCUAUAUAAAAAGGUGACAUUCGUUUAGGCAUGCGAUGUCCAUGGAAUUUUUGUAGUCGAAAAAAUUUAGUAUAAUUUCCAAUGUGAUAGAACCUUCCAUUCAACAACAUUCACCGACUCUUUAUUUUGAUACGUAAUAUAUUGUUAUUUGGUGCAACGCCGCACCAAACAGUCACUUUUUGGUCACCCAAAGGCGUUUCAUAGAUCGUGAAUGGAUGGCAAAAGCUUUUAACACAUGUCUUACCAAUUUAAUCACUUACUUAAUGCCAAAGCUAUUAAAAUCGCAAAUCGCUUACCAAUGCCUAUAUAUCGACAUGAAAGAUGACACGCCCUGUUGUUUGCAAAUACAAUAUUUACCGCUUUAUCACUUGCCUUAAAUUUAAACUACCUAUUACUAAUUAUACUUUAUAUUUACAACUCACAUAGGCUCGGCCGCUUGCACAAAUUUGUUUGCAUACUUGUGUACUAAAGUGCGAGUAAGCCUAAUUGUUUUUUAUUGCAUUUGUUUACGAUUAUUUGUUAAAAGAACAGCACUACCGCAUCCACUUAAGUUUUUUCGCGAUAAAAAUAAAUGUAAUUAAUCUGGUUAGGCAGCGAUUUAUAUUCAUCGGUCAUUCUCUUAUUAUAGAUCUUAGUAUGAAAGAAAGUUUCUGGAAGCAAUUUUAGGAUAUGUCCAAAGUAUUUUGUUGAUUACUCUAGAAUGUCAGCUUUCUUCAACAACUUUCUUGUAAUACUACCGGAGUUAUCAGCAUGACGACCUUUCUCCCCAAGAAGCUGCUAAUUUGUUGGAACUGCCGAUAUCGGAUCACUAUAAAAUAUAUCUAUCAUGCAAGCUGACCAAACGAAAUCACGUUCCCGUAUAGAAAACUAUUUUAUUUGAUAUUUCUUUGAUAAAUCUCCAAGGACUUAUGGUUAUCACCGCAAGGAUCUUUUUUUGAAACUGGGUCAACACAGACAGC
This is a non-coding RNA of Bactrocera oleae (olive fruit fly), 1259 nucleotides long. The record is from RefSeq and is a predicted model, not a curated record. NCBI's taxonomy places the organism in Eukaryota, Metazoa, Arthropoda, Insecta, Diptera, Tephritidae.